RNAcentral lists this ribosomal RNA (222 nucleotides) under Salmonella enterica subsp. enterica serovar Mbandaka. RNAcentral describes it as "partial 23S ribosomal RNA". The stretch from base 1 to 176 matches the Rfam family "Bacterial large subunit ribosomal RNA", at positions 1124 to 1299 of the family's 2925-position model. The record is from RNAcentral. Lineage: Bacteria; Pseudomonadati; Pseudomonadota; Gammaproteobacteria; Enterobacterales; Enterobacteriaceae.
UAAAGAAAGCGUAAUAGCUCACUGGUCGAGUCGGCCUGCGCGGAAGAUGUAACGGGGCUAAACCAUGCACCGAAGCUGCGGCACCAACACUGUAUGUUAUUGUGUACGAGAGCGUUCAGAAAGGCUGCGAAGGUGGCCUGUGAGGAGUGAUGUAGGUAUCAGAAGGUCGAAAGCUGCGGCAGCGACGCUGAUGCGUUGUUGGGUAGGGGAGCGUUCUGUAAG